AUCUGCCAACUUCUGUUGAAAGAUACUGAACGCUUUUUGAGUUGUCCACCGGAAAUGAAGCUCACCCCACCCUUUUGGGACUAAGUCCUAACCGUUUCCAUGGAAACCGGAAAAAUAAAUCUGCCAAAAAUCUGCCAAAUAGCAAAAGGCACCACUUUGGCAUCUGCCUCACAUAUCUGCCAAGUUUUGCUGAAAGAUAUUAAGAAGUUUUCGUGUUGUGCUCUGGAAGCGAAACCCACCCCUCCCUUUUGAGACUAAGUCCAAAUUUGUUUCCAUGGAAACCGACAAAAAUAAAAAUUACAAAAA
Long non-coding RNA from Haliotis rubra (blacklip abalone), 306 nucleotides. RefSeq lists it as uncharacterized. Lineage: Eukaryota; Metazoa; Mollusca; Gastropoda; Lepetellida; Haliotidae. The record is from RefSeq and is a predicted model, not a curated record. The transcript has 2 exons.